This 766-nucleotide long non-coding RNA is filed under the name Linum usitatissimum (flax). RNAcentral's name for it is "long non-coding RNA (LUSI_LNC003225)". Lineage: Eukaryota; Viridiplantae; Streptophyta; Magnoliopsida; Malpighiales; Linaceae. The record is from RNAcentral.
CGGAUGGUCCGGAUCCGGCGGCGACGGUUGGUGACUGGGCCACCGUUUGAACUGGCUGAACGAAUUGACGAAAUUAGUCGUCGACGACUGGUGGUCAUCGCGCAAGGGAGGGAAAGAGGAGACGGAGUCGAUGUCGUCGAUGAAGGCAGUAGCGCCGGCGUGGUCGGGCUCUAGGUAGCGUCGGCGUGGUCGGGCUCUAGCGAUAUGCUUCUGCUGCCGUGGUGACUCGAAGCUUGAUCCCUCUGCUCUCUUCUUCCCCGAUCUCCGCUGGCUCCGCUGCCGCUGCCGUUUCUGUUCUCGUUUAGUCUCAGGGACACCAUACUUCCGACGACGACGACGACGACGACUUUCGAUUGGUUUAGAUAAGAUUGGGGAAGACGGGGAAAACUGCGUGGAGAUAUGAGAAUGAAGAGAGAAACAAUUUGGCAGAUGAAAGCAAAUCCGAAGAGAUUUGAAGGGCUGAUUUGGCUGUGUUGACUUCUUCUUCGCUUUUCUGAUAAGAAGAAAGAAAAGAAAGUCGCUUUUUUAAUCGGAGCAGUGAUUUUAACUGCAAGAUAUGGUUAAUUUGAAAUUGUUCUCACAAUCUAAUUAUGCAUACACAGUUCAUACACGGGGAUAAUCACUUGCGUCUGGUUUGGGACAACAACCAGUCUAGUUGUCGACGGGAAGAACGACAUCAUUGGUGCCGCUCGACUCCACCUCCACGUUUCAGCCGUAGCUUCGACUUUUUCUUGGCACAUCUUUGUAAGCGAUAUGGUCAGAAAUA